CUGAGAGUUUGAUCCUGGCUCAGAACGAACGCUGGCGGCAGGCUUAACACAUGCAAGUCGAACGAACUCUUCGGAGUUAGUGGCAGACGGGUGAGUAACGCGUGGGAACGUGCCCUUCUCUAAGGAAUAGCCACUGGAAACGGUGAGUAAUACCUUAUACGCCCUUCGGGGGAAAGAUUUAUCGGAGAAGGAUCGGCCCGCGUUGGAUUAGGUAGUUGGUGGGGUAAUGGCCUACCAAGGCGACGAUCCAUAGCUGGUCUGAGAGGAUGAUCAGCCACACUGGGACUGAGACACGGACCAGACUCCUACGGGAGGCAGCAGUGGGGAAUCUUGGACAAUGGGGGCAACCCUGAUCCAGCCAUGCCGCGUGGGUGAAGAAGGCCUUAGGGUUGUAAAGCCCUUUCAGUCGUGACGAUGAUGACGGUAGCGACAGAAGAAGCCCCGGCUAACUCCGUGCCAGCAGCCGCGGUAAUACGGAGGGUGCAAGCGUU
This 491-nucleotide ribosomal RNA is filed under the name Symbiodinium sp. Mp. Its description in RNAcentral is "partial Bacterial small subunit ribosomal RNA". It matches the Rfam family "Bacterial small subunit ribosomal RNA", at positions 1 to 542 of the family's 1533-position model. Lineage: Eukaryota; Dinophyceae; Suessiales; Symbiodiniaceae. The record is from RNAcentral.